ACUAGGAUCUGCUACAUAAGCAAUUGGGCCCAUACCCCAAAAACGAUAAAACACCACAUCUCCUAGUA
Molecule: transfer RNA, 68 nt
Filed under: Furcifer oustaleti (Oustalet's chamelion)
Lineage: Eukaryota; Metazoa; Chordata; Lepidosauria; Squamata; Chamaeleonidae
Description: tRNA-Met
Source: RNAcentral